UGUUGCUUACCGGGGCCACUUUCACACUU
RNAcentral lists this small RNA (29 nucleotides) under Bombyx mori (domestic silkworm). RNAcentral describes it as "ovarian small RNA-36162". Lineage: Eukaryota; Metazoa; Arthropoda; Insecta; Lepidoptera; Bombycidae. The record is from RNAcentral.